Molecule: long non-coding RNA, 710 nt
Filed under: Brassica rapa (field mustard)
Lineage: Eukaryota; Viridiplantae; Streptophyta; Magnoliopsida; Brassicales; Brassicaceae
Description: long non-coding RNA (BRAP_LNC000495)
Source: RNAcentral
AAAGACUAAGAUAGCACCAAACCAAGUUUUUGUUCCCAAAGUAGCACUCAAGGCUCAAAGUCACAAAAAUAGGUUUCAUUAAAGAGGUAAAUAUACACUUAUACCCCUUGGGUUAAUUAAUCCAAACCUUAGGGUUUAGAGUUAAGGGGUGGGGUUUUGAAAUUAGGGUUUAAAAUUUUAUAAAAAAAUAAAUACUAAAAUAAAAAAUAAAAAUUUUAAAAACAGUUUCAAAAAGUAUUUUUAAAUUAUAAAAAGAAAAUUUGAAAAAAAUUUAAAAAAAAAUUCGAAAAAAAAUUUCAAAAAAAAAUUAUAAAAAUUUCGAAUCUUAAAACACAUAAUCUGAAACUAUAAAAAAAAAUUCUUUUUUUUUUAUUUUUUUAUUUUUAUUUUAUUUAUUUUAUUUAUUUUUGUUUGUUUAUUUAAUUUUAAACCAAGGGUAUUAUGGAUAUUUUACCCUUUAAUGAAUGUCAUUUUUGUGACUUUCUCCUUCUAAUGCUAUUUUUGAGACAUAAACUUCAAAAGGUGCUAUUAUUGACAAUUGCCCAAAUAAUAAAAACAAAAUUUUGAAAAAAACUACAUCUAUAUUGCACAUCUAUAUUUAGAUUUAAGCUUCCACGUAUUAUUUCUACAAAACACAAUAUUAUUUACAUGAAAAGUAUUACCUGGGAUUUUCUUUUAAUUUUUUGAUGCAACUCAAUUUUUUAUUAUCC